This 253-nucleotide ribosomal RNA is filed under the name uncultured bacterium. RNAcentral's name for it is "partial 16S ribosomal RNA". It matches the Rfam family "Bacterial small subunit ribosomal RNA", at positions 524 to 776 of the family's 1533-position model. The record is from RNAcentral.
UACGUAGGGGGCAAGCGUUGUCCGGAAUCAUUGGGCGUAAAGAGCGUGUAGGCGGCCCGAUAAGUCCGCCGUGAAAGUCCAAGGCUCAACCUUGGGAUGCCGGUGGAAACUGUCGGGCUCGAGUCCGGAAGAGGCGAGUGGAAUUCCUGGUGUAGCGGUGAAAUGCGCAGAUAUCAGGAGGAACACCAAUGGCGAAGGCAGCUCGCUGGGACGGCACUGACGCUGAGACGCGAAAGCGUGGGGAGCAAACAGG